Molecule: non-coding RNA, 155 nt
Filed under: uncultured Dialister sp.
Lineage: Bacteria; Bacillati; Bacillota; Negativicutes; Veillonellales; Veillonellaceae
Source: RNAcentral
AAACAGGUGCCCUUAUGAGGGCUUAAUAGGGAAGACCGGUGAAAAACCGGCACGGUCCCGCCACUGUAAUGCAGAGCGAAUCCGACAAAUGUCACUGAGUGAAUUGGGAAGGCUGGAGGAGCGAGGAAGCAGAGUCAGGAGAACUGCCUGUUUUG